CGGAUUUCAAUGACUUUGGAUGAUUCGGAAAACGCUUCAAUCGUCUAUAACUUUCGUUCAUGUUGCAUCCUCAUAUCAUGAUUGGAAAUAUUUUUGAAAAAUUGAAUUUUAAACUAAAAAAAUGAUCUUUUAAUAAUUGUACUUUAGAAAAAAAGUGAAGUUGUCCCAUUGAUAAAAAAAUCAUCGAGGAACAACGAUGAGAUUCACGUGGUGGAUAAAAAUGAUCAAAGAAGAUAUGAUAAUUGGGGAGUAUGAUAAUGGCAAAAAAUAAUUCAAAUUAAGAUUGACUCUGUUGGAUUUCAAUAAUAAAAGUCCAUAACAUAAAAGGGCCUUGAGAAGGCCCAGAGGCCAGAGGAUUAAAGCAACAAUUCAGCGACAGAAAAAAGAGGAGAGAACAUUUGUAAAUAUCUUUCUACAGAGAGAUGCAAAGAGGAAAUAAAAAAAAACCUAAUUCCAACAUGCGGCGCUCGAAGAAGGGUAAGUAUUCAAUUUUUCUUCAUACAUUCUCGUUUAUCAUCCUUUCUAAUUGAUUAUCAAGAUAUUGUUCUAUCACAACUAUCGAUUGCGUUUCCAAGUGAAAUUUGUAAAGGGUUUGUCAUUGGGGCGUUUGUAUGGUUUAAGUUCUCUGCAUCAAAACGAAGUUGAUAUUUGAAGAGAUUUUCCUCUCCGAUUUGUGGCUCUGUUGAAGCUCUAGAGUGCCUCUUGGCUUGAUAAUAACUGAGUUAUGCAAUUGCUCACCAGGUAUUUGAUUUUUGUACUGAACUCCGUAUCUCUUUUACUCUACUUCGUAGAAUUCUGUUAAUAUUAAUAGUAUGACUUAACAUAAUAUUUGGUAAAUUUGUCAUAUAAAUGUGGUCGAAAUCAAUGAAUUUCAUUAAUUCGAAUGA
Molecule: long non-coding RNA, 887 nt
Organism: Daucus carota subsp. sativus
Lineage: Eukaryota; Viridiplantae; Streptophyta; Magnoliopsida; Apiales; Apiaceae
Exons: 2
Source: RefSeq, a predicted model, not a curated record